This 193-nucleotide non-coding RNA is filed under the name bovine gut metagenome. The record is from RNAcentral.
AUGGGAAGAUGUCAAAAGGGAAUCGGGUGGAAGUCCCGAGCAGUCCCGCUGCUGUAAGUUCCAUUGUGACGUAGUGCAUGUCUUCAUGACAGAGCCACUGAUCUUGGAUGUAACAUAGGUAUUUAUGAUAGCAUCCAACAAAUCGGGAAGGUGCACAACGUCGGAAUAAGCCAGAAAACCUGCCUCUGCAUAU